AGACUGAACGCUGGCGGCGUGCUUAACACAUGCAAGUCGAGCGGUAACAGGCGUAGCAAUACGUGCUGACGAGCGGCGAACGGGUGCGUAAUACAUGGGAAUCUGCCCUUUGGUGGGGAAUAACCCGGCGAAAGCCGGGCUAAUGCCGCAUAAGAUCUUCGGAUGAAAGCGGGGGAUCGUAAGACCUCGCGCCGAUGGAUGAGCCCAUGUCGGAUUAGCUAGGUUGGUGAGGUAACGGCUCACC
Molecule: ribosomal RNA, 244 nt
Filed under: uncultured soil bacterium
Lineage: Bacteria
Description: partial 16S ribosomal RNA
Rfam family: Bacterial small subunit ribosomal RNA
Source: RNAcentral